UUUAUGAACACAGACUCUCAGUUUAACAGAAACUUCUCUAAAAGAGGACACGACAACUGUAAAAAAUGAAUAAAAUUUGGGUCUUGUGCCUUGGGAUGCUGAUCAUGACUUUACCAUUUUCAGCUUCACAGGCAGCCAGUAAUUCAUCUGGGCCUGGAGGUCCACCUGGUGGACAAACUCAAGCAGAUUCAGCUUCUAAAAAGUCCGGCACUGCAGGAUUUAGUAUGUCCACCCCAAUGUGUCUACUGAUACCAGCAGCCACGCUCCUCAUCCUAUACGGCAAAUCUUAAACUGGAUGAAAGUUUGCCGUCCAUCGAGAAGACCGUGAUAAUGAGAACCGUCUCAAAACUGAAAAUACAAUCUGAGCUCAUACUUGGCUCUUUUAAAAUAAUCCAAAUUGAUUCUGAAGUUUAGAUAAUUAUUUUAAAGACUUUCAGGAAAUCUGCCAAGUGUCCUCCAGAGCAGAAAUUUGAUCAUUUCAGUUUGUGUAAUAACAUGCGUUGUACACCUUAUAAUAUGAAUCUUGUCAGUGUCAUCUUUCUCCUCUUACAAUAUUUUAUUAUAAACAAUCAUUGUUGUGAUCAAGACUGAAUCAAUAUGCACAUUAAAGUGGAUGGUUGUA
Long non-coding RNA from Misgurnus anguillicaudatus (oriental weatherfish), 622 nucleotides. RefSeq lists it as uncharacterized. The record is from RefSeq and is a predicted model, not a curated record. NCBI's taxonomy places the organism in Eukaryota, Metazoa, Chordata, Actinopteri, Cypriniformes, Cobitidae.